This 524-nucleotide ribosomal RNA is filed under the name uncultured bacterium. RNAcentral describes it as "partial 16S ribosomal RNA". It matches the Rfam family "Bacterial small subunit ribosomal RNA", at positions 355 to 896 of the family's 1533-position model. The record is from RNAcentral.
UGGGGAAUAUUGGACAAUGGGGGCAACCCUGAUCCAGCAAUGCCGCGUGUGUGAAGAAGGUCUUCGGAUUGUAAAGCACUUUCGACGGGGACGAUGAUGACGGUACCCGUAGAAGAAGCCCCGGCUAACUUCGUGCCAGCAGCCGCGGUAAUACGAAGGGGGCUAGCGUUGCUCGGAAUGACUGGGCGUAAAGGGCGUGUAGGCGGUUUACACAGUCAGAUGUGAAAUCCCCGGGCUUAACCUGGGAGCUGCAUUUGAUACGUGUAGACUAGAGUGUGAGAGAGGGUUGUGGAAUUCCCAGUGUAGAGGUGAAAUUCGUAGAUAUUGGGAAGAACACCGGUGGCGAAGGCGGCAACCUGGCUCAUGACUGACGCUGAGGCGCGAAAGCGUGGGGAGCAAACAGGAUUAGAUACCCUGGUAGUCCACGCUGUAAACGAUGUGUGCUAGAUGUUGGGUAACUUUGUUAUUCAGUGUCGCAGUUAACGCGUUAAGCACACCGCCUGGGGAGUACGGCCGCAAGGUUG